AACGAACGCUGGCGGCAUGCCUAACACAUGCAAGUCGAACGAGACCUUCGGGUCUAGUGGCGCACGGGUGCGUAACGCGUGGGAACCUGCCCUUAGGUUCGGAAUAACUCCCCGAAAGGGGUGCUAAUACCGGAUAAUGUCUUCGGACCAAAGAUUUAUCGCCUUUGGAUGGGCCCGCGUUGGAUUAGCUAGUUGGUAGGGUAAAAGCCUACCAAGGCUACGAUCCAUAGCUGGUCUGAGAGGAUGAUCAGCCACACUGGGACUGAGACACGGCCCAGACUCAUACGGGAGGCAGCAGUGGGGAAUAUUGGACAAUGGGCGAAAGCCUGAUCCAGCAAUGCCGCGUGAGUGAUGAAGGCCUUAGGGUUGUAAAGCUCUUUUACCCGGGAUGAUAAUGACAGUACCGGGAGAAUAAGCUCCGGCUAACUCCGUG
This 433-nucleotide ribosomal RNA is filed under the name uncultured bacterium. Its description in RNAcentral is "partial 16S ribosomal RNA". It matches the Rfam family "Bacterial small subunit ribosomal RNA", at positions 29 to 507 of the family's 1533-position model. The record is from RNAcentral.